UACGUAGGUGGCGAAGCGUUGUCCGGAAUUAUUGGGCGUAAAGCGCGCGCAGGUGGUUUCUUAAGUCUGAUGUGAAAGCCCACGGCUCAACCGUGGAGGGUCAUUGGAAACUGGGGAACUUGAGUGCAGGAGAGAAGAGUGGAAUUCCACGUGUAGCGGUGAAAUGCGUAGAGAUCCGGAAGAACACCGGUGGCGAAGGCGGCCUGCUGGGCUAUGGCUGACACUGAGGCGCGACAGCGUGGGGAGCAAACAGG
RNAcentral lists this ribosomal RNA (254 nucleotides) under uncultured bacterium. RNAcentral describes it as "partial 16S ribosomal RNA". It matches the Rfam family "Bacterial small subunit ribosomal RNA", at positions 524 to 776 of the family's 1533-position model. The record is from RNAcentral.